RNAcentral lists this ribosomal RNA (253 nucleotides) under uncultured bacterium. RNAcentral's name for it is "partial 16S ribosomal RNA". It matches the Rfam family "Bacterial small subunit ribosomal RNA", at positions 524 to 776 of the family's 1533-position model. The record is from RNAcentral.
UACGGAGGGAGCAAGCGUUGUUCGGAAUUACUUGGCGUAAAGAGCGUGUAGGCGGCUGACCAAGUCCGGUGUGAAAGCCCGGGGCUUACCCCCGGAAGUGCGCUGGAAACUGGUCGACUAGAGUAUGGGAGAGGGAAGUUGAAUUCCUGGUGUAGCGGUUAAAUGCGUAGAUAUCAGGAGGAACACCGGCGGCGAAGGCGGGUUCCCGUACCAAUACUGACGCUGGGACGCGAAAGGGUGGGGAGCAAACAGG